Pelobates cultripes (western spadefoot toad) is the source of this 225-nucleotide non-coding RNA. Lineage: Eukaryota; Metazoa; Chordata; Amphibia; Anura; Pelobatidae. The record is from the annotation of a GenBank genome assembly.
GCUAUAGUCACAGCGCGUCGAUUUUAGUCUGAAUUUUGCAAUUUAGUUUUAAUUUAAUUUAGUAAAUAAAGCUUGCAAAUUGUUCAAUGAAUGACAAAAUACCUCUUCUUCUUCAGUUAGUGGAGUGUUUCAAAAACAAAAGGCUCUCACUGCAUUUGAGAGGGACCGCUUUUGUUUAAAGAGUCUGCUCAUUGUAGUGGUUAUAGUGUUUGGAGUUAAUGGCGC